GGAAGACAAAGCAAAUAUUAACACUGAACAGUCUUGAAAAUAUAAAAGUAUGACAAGUCUUCAGGGGCAUUCAGAUUUGAGACUGGGAGGAAGGCAAGAACUUUCCGGGGGAGAGAAGGAAUGCUGCUGAUCACUGGGCAUUUGUUG
This 147-nucleotide long non-coding RNA is filed under the name Mustela putorius furo (domestic ferret). RNAcentral describes it as "lncRNA (ENSMPUG00000032123.1)". The record is from RNAcentral. Lineage: Eukaryota; Metazoa; Chordata; Mammalia; Carnivora; Mustelidae.